UUUCCAUCAGGGUGGCCUAGCAUCUACAAACACCUCUGGACCCUGGAAGGGGUGAAGUCAGUGAUGGAGCAUCACCUCAUUUCCAUUCUGUGUUCAGACCAAGAGGAUCUCCAGGAGCCUCAGGGUCCCUGGGAGGUUCUUUUCCUCCAUGUGAGUCACUUUUUAUAAAGUGCAAGAUCCAGGACCCACCCGGUGAGACCACGGCUCAGGAUCUAAGAUCAAGUGAUGAAGCCAAAGAACAGGGGCUUCCUGAUGAAUGGACAGCAUAUGAGGCUAGAACCCAGGGAUGAGGACCAGGGCCCAGCAAUGAGGACCAGGGCCCAGCGAUGAGGACCAGGGCUUAGUGAUCAGGGCCAGGGCUCAUGAUCAGGGCCAGGACUCAGUGAUCAGGCCCAGGACUCAGUGAUCAGGCCCAGGACCCAGUGAUCAGGCCCAGGACUCAGUGAUCAGGACCAGGACCCAGUGAUCAGGACCAGGGCUCAGUGAUCAGGACCAGGGCCCAGUGAUCAGGACCAGGGCCCAGUGAUCAGGACCAGGACCCAGUGAUCAGGACCAGGGCUCAAUGAUCAGGACCAGGACCCAAUGAUCAGGACCAGGGCUCAGUGAUCAGGACCAGGAUUCAGUGAUUUGAACCAGGACUCAGAAUCAGAACCAAGACUCAGUGAUCAGGACCAGGGCUCAGUGAUCAGGACCAGGAGUCAGUGAUCAGGACCAGGACUCAGUGAUCAGGACCAGGGCUCAGUGAUCAGGACCAGGACCCAGUGAUCAGGACCAGGGCUCAGUGAUCAGGACCAGGACCCAGUGAUCAGGACCAGGGCUCAGUGAUCAGGACCAGGGCCCAAUGAUCAGGACCAGGGCUCAGUGAUCAGGACCAGGACCCAAUGAUCAGGACCAGGGCUCAGUGAUCAGGACCAGGGCUCAGUGAUCAGGACCAGGACCCAGUGAUCAGGACCAGGGCUCAGUGAUCAGGACCAGGACCCAAUGAUCAGGACCAGGGCUCAGUGAUCAGGAUCAGGAUUCAGUGAUUUGAACCAGGACUCAGAAUCAGAACCAAGACUCAGUGAUCAGGACCAGGGCUCAGUGAUCAGGACCAGGGCCCAGUGAUCAGGACCAGGGCUCAGUGAUCAGGACCAGGGCCCAGUGAUCAGGACCAGGAGUCAGUGAUCAGGACCAGGGCCCAGUGAUCAGGACCAGGGCUCAGUGAUCAGGACCACGACUCAGUGUUCAGGACCAGGGCCCAGUGAUCAGGACCAGGGCCCAGUGAUCAGGACCAGGACUCAGUGAUCAGGACCAGGGCUCAGUGAUCAGGACCAGGACCCAAUGAUCAGGACCAGGGCUCAGUGAUCAGGAUCAGGAUUCAGUGAUUUGAACCAGGACUCAGAAUCAGAACCAAGACUCAGUGAUCAGGACCAGGAGUCAGUGAUCAGGACCAGGGCUCAGUGAUCAGGACCAGGACCCAGUGAUCAGGACCAGGGCUCAGUGAUCAGGACCAGGGCCCAAUGAUCAGGACCAGGGCUCAGUGAUCAGGACCAGGACCCAAUGAUCAGGACCAGGGCUCAGUGAUCAGGACCAGGAUUCAGUGAUUUGAACCAGGACUCAGAAUCAGAACCAAGACUCAGUGAUCAGGACCAGGGCUCAGUGAUCAGGACCAGGGCCCAGUGAUCAGGACCAGGGCCCAGUAAUCAGGACCA
Molecule: long non-coding RNA, 1691 nt
Organism: Bos taurus (domestic cattle)
Lineage: Eukaryota; Metazoa; Chordata; Mammalia; Artiodactyla; Bovidae
Source: Ensembl